RNAcentral lists this ribosomal RNA (378 nucleotides) under uncultured archaeon. Its description in RNAcentral is "bacterial SSU rRNA". It matches the Rfam family "Archaeal small subunit ribosomal RNA", at positions 691 to 1068 of the family's 1478-position model. The record is from RNAcentral.
CCGACGGUGAGGGGUGAAAGCUGGGGGAGCAAACCGGAUUAGAUACCCGGGUAGUCCCAGCCGUAAACGAUGUGCGUUAGGUGUAUCGGUGACCACGAGUCACCGAGGUGCCGAAGAGAAAUUGUGAAACGUACCGCCUGGGAAGUACGGUCGCAAGGCUGAAACUUAAAGGAAUUGGCGGGGGAGCACCACAACAGGUGGAGCCUGCGGUUUAAUCGGACUCAACGCCGGGAAACUCACCAGAUAAGACAGCUGAAUGAUAGUCGGGCUGAAGACUCUACUUGACUAGCUGAGAGGAGGUGCAUGGCCGUCGUCAGUUCGUACUGUGAGGCAUCCUGUUAAGUCAGGCAACGAGCGAGACCCACGCCAACAGUUGCU